UGGGGAAUAUUGGGCAAUGGGCGAAAGCCUGACCCAGCGACGCCGCGUGGGUGAUGAAGGCCUUCGGGUUGUAAAACCCUUUCGUGCGGAAAGAAUAGUCUCGUAGCGAAUAACUACGGGAUUUGACGGUACCGCAGGAAGAAGCACCGGCUAACUCCGUGCCAGCAGCCGCGGUAAUACGGAGGGUGCAAGCGUUGUUCGGAAUUAUUGGGCGUAAAGGGCGCGUAGGUGGUUGUGAUAGUCAGAUGUGAAAUCCUUCGGCUCAACCGAAGAACUGCAUCUGAAACUUCAUAGCUCGAGUACAGGAGAGGGAGACGGAAUUCCCGGUGUAGAGGUGAAAUUCGUAGAUAUCGGGAGGAACACCAGUGGCGAAGGCGGUUUCCUGGCCUGAUACUGACGCUGAGGCGCGAAAGCGUGGGGAGCAAACAG
RNAcentral lists this ribosomal RNA (429 nucleotides) under uncultured bacterium. RNAcentral describes it as "bacterial SSU rRNA". It matches the Rfam family "Bacterial small subunit ribosomal RNA", at positions 355 to 775 of the family's 1533-position model. The record is from RNAcentral.